GAUGAAGAACGUAGCGAAAUGCGAUAAGUAAUGUGAAUUGCAGAAUUCAGUGAAUCAUCGAAUCUUUGAACGCACAUUGCGCCCGCCAGUAUUCUGGCGGGCAUGCCUGUUCGAGCGUCAUUUCAACCAUCAAGCCCCAGGCUUGUGUUGGGGACCUGCGGCUGCCGCAGGCCCUGAAAACCAGUGGCGGGCUCGCUGUCACACCGGGCGUAGUAGAUUUUAUCUCGCUCAGGGCGUGCUGCGGGUUCCGGCCGUUAAAAAGCCUUUUUCACCCAAGGUUGACCUCGGAUCAGGUAGGAAGACCCGCUGAACUUAAGCAUAUCAAUAAGCGGAGGA
Molecule: unclassified non-coding RNA, 336 nt
Filed under: soil metagenome
Description: partial contains 5.8S ribosomal RNA, internal transcribed spacer 2, and large subunit ribosomal RNA
Rfam family: 5.8S ribosomal RNA (bases 1-120)
Source: RNAcentral